GAUGAUUCAUAAUAACUUUGCAAAUCGCGGGCCAAUGUCUGCGAUGAUACAAACGAGUUUCUGACCUAUCAACUUUAGAUGGCAGGAUAGGGGCUUGCCAUGGUGACAACGGGUGACGGGGAAUUAGGGUUCGAUUCCGGGAGAGGGGAGCCUGAGAAAACGGGCUACCACUUCCAAGGAAGGCAGCAGGCGCGCAAAUUACCCAAUACUGAUUCGGUGAGGUAGUGACAAGAAAUACCAAUAUAGGACCCAACGGGGUACUAUGUUUGGAAUGAGUACAAUUUAAAACCUUAACGAGGAACAAUUGGAGGGCAAGUCUGGUGCCAGCAGCCGCGGUAAUUCCAGCUCCAAUAGUGUAUAUUAAAGUUGCUGCGGUUAAAAAGCUCGUAGUUGGAUUUCGGAGUUGUUAUCUGAACCUUCUCGCCCU
Molecule: ribosomal RNA, 427 nt
Filed under: uncultured eukaryote
Lineage: Eukaryota
Description: bacterial SSU rRNA
Rfam family: Eukaryotic small subunit ribosomal RNA
Source: RNAcentral